AAGUCUGAUGUGAAGGCCGUCGGCUUAACCGGGGUAGUGCAUUGGAAACUGGGGGACUUGAGUGCAGAAGAGGAGAGGGGAACUCCAUGUGUAGCGGUGAAAUGCGUAGAUAUAUGGAAGAACACCAGUGGCGAAGGCGGCUCUCUGGUCUGUAACUGACGCUGAGGUUCGAAAGCGUGGGUAGCAAACAG
Molecule: ribosomal RNA, 191 nt
Filed under: uncultured bacterium
Lineage: Bacteria
Description: partial 16S ribosomal RNA
Rfam family: Bacterial small subunit ribosomal RNA
Source: RNAcentral